RNAcentral lists this ribosomal RNA (450 nucleotides) under uncultured bacterium. RNAcentral describes it as "bacterial SSU rRNA". It matches the Rfam family "Bacterial small subunit ribosomal RNA", at positions 354 to 796 of the family's 1533-position model. The record is from RNAcentral.
GUGGGGAAUAUUGGACAAUGGGCGAAAGCCUGAUCCAGCCAUGCCGCGUGUGUGAAGAAGGUCUUCGGAUUGUAAAGCACUUUAAGUUGGGAGGAAGGGCAGUAAGUUAAUACCUUGCUGUUUUGACGUUACCGACAGAAUAAGCACCGGCUAACUUCGUGCCAGCAGCCGCGGUAAUACGAAGGGUGCAAGCGUUAAUCGGAAUUACUGGGCGUAAAGCGAGCGUAGGUGGUUUUGUAAGUUGGAGGUGAGAUCCCCGGGCUCAACCUGGGAACUGCCUCCAGAACUGCAUGACUAGAGUACGGUAGAGGGUAGUGGAAUGUCCUGUGUAGCGGUGAAAUGCGUAGAUAUAGGAAGGAACACCAGUGGCGAAGGCGACUACCUGGACUGAUACUGACACUGAGGUGCGAAAGCGUGGGGAGCAAACAGGAUUAGAAACCCUUGUAGUCC